AUUGAACGCUGGCGGCAGGCCUAACACAUGCAAGUCGAGCGGAUGAAGGGAGCUUGCUCCUGGAUUCAGCGGCGGACGGGUGAGUAAUGCCUAGGAAUCUGCCUGGUAGUGGGGGAUAACGUCCGGAAACGGGCGCUAAUACCGCAUACGUCCUGAGGGAGAAAGUGGGGGAUCUUCGGACCUCACGCUAUCAGAUGAGCCUAGGUCGGAUUAGCUAGUUGGUGGGGUAAAGGCCUACCAAGGCGACGAUCCGUAACUGGUCUGAGAGGAUGAUCAGUCACACUAGAACUGAGACACGGUCCAGACUCCUACGGGAGGCAGCAGUGGGGAAUAUUGGACAAUGGGCGAAAGCCUGAUCCAGCCAUGCCGCGUGUGUGAAGAAGGUCUUCGGAUUGUAAAGCACUUUAAGUUGGGAGGAAGGGCAGUAAGUUAAAACCUUGCUGUUUUGACGUUACCAACAGAAUAAGCACCGGCUAACUUCGUG
RNAcentral lists this ribosomal RNA (484 nucleotides) under uncultured bacterium. RNAcentral's name for it is "partial 16S ribosomal RNA". It matches the Rfam family "Bacterial small subunit ribosomal RNA", at positions 30 to 507 of the family's 1533-position model. The record is from RNAcentral.